AAUGAACGCUAGCGGCAGGCCUAACACAUGCAAGUCGAGGGGUAGAUGUCUUCGGACAUUGAGACCGGCGCACGGGUGCGUAACGCGUAUGCAACCUGCCUUCCACAAAGGGAUAGCCCAGAGAAAUUUGGAUUAAUACCUUAUAGCAUUGCGGAAUGGCAUCAUUUCGUAAUUAAAGAUUUAUCGGUGGAAGAUGGGCA
RNAcentral lists this ribosomal RNA (200 nucleotides) under uncultured bacterium. RNAcentral's name for it is "partial 16S ribosomal RNA". It matches the Rfam family "Bacterial small subunit ribosomal RNA", at positions 29 to 231 of the family's 1533-position model. The record is from RNAcentral.